UUGAUCUAAAUUGUUCUAAGUUGGGGCCCUUGUGCUUCAUACCUGAACAUCCAAGAUCAAUUCCCUCCUUGCUUGGACCCUUUUUGCUUAUGUUGAAGAUUUAGGAGCCCAGUAAAAGCUAUCUGUACUUGCUUGGUGGUAUACGGCUGGGAUAAAUUGUAUAAAUUUGCUCAGGUACUAAUCGGAAUAGGCUGGCUACUCCUAG
This 205-nucleotide long non-coding RNA is filed under the name Helianthus annuus (common sunflower). RNAcentral's name for it is "sRNA HanXRQr2_Chr06g0245311". The record is from RNAcentral. Lineage: Eukaryota; Viridiplantae; Streptophyta; Magnoliopsida; Asterales; Asteraceae.